UACGUAGGGUGCGAGCGUUGUCCGGAAUUACUGGGCGUAAAGAGCUCGUAGGUGGUUUGUCGCGUUGUCCGUGAAAACUCACAACUCAAUUGUGGGCGUGCGGGCGAUACGGGCAGACUGGAGUACUGCAGGGGAGACUGGAAUUCCUGGUGUAGCGGUGGAAUGCGCAGAUAUCAGGAGGAACACCGGUGGCGAAGGCGGGUCUCUGGGCAGUAACUGACGCUGAGGCGCGAAAGCUAGGGGAGCAAACAGG
Molecule: ribosomal RNA, 253 nt
Filed under: uncultured bacterium
Lineage: Bacteria
Description: partial 16S ribosomal RNA
Rfam family: Bacterial small subunit ribosomal RNA
Source: RNAcentral